Molecule: ribosomal RNA, 497 nt
Filed under: uncultured bacterium
Lineage: Bacteria
Description: partial 16S ribosomal RNA
Rfam family: Bacterial small subunit ribosomal RNA
Source: RNAcentral
GAUGAACGCUGGCGGCGUGCCUAAUACAUGCAAGUCGAGCGAACGGACGAGAAGCUUGCUUCUCUGAUGUUAGCGGCGGACGGGUGAGUAACACGUGGAUAACCUACCUAUAAGACUGGGAUAACUUCGGGAAACCGGAGCUAAUACCGGAUAAUAUUUUGAACCGCAGGGUUCAAAAGUGAAAGACGGUCUUGCUGUCACUUAUAGAUGGAUCCGCGCUGCAUUAGCUAGUUGGUAAGGUAACGGCUUACCAAGGCAACGAUGCAUAGCCGACCUGAGAGGGUGAUCGGCCACACUGGAACUGGGACACGGUCCAGACGCCUACGGGAGGCAGCAGUAGGGAAUCUUCCGCAAUGGGGGAAAGCCUGACGGAGCAACGGCGCGUGAGUGAUGAAGGUCUUCGGAGCGUAAAACUCUGUUAUUAGGGAAGAACAUAUGUGUAAGGAAAUGUGCACAUCUUGACGGUACCUAAUCAGAAAGCCACGGCUAACUACGUG